AAUCCGUCGACUUUAGAAAUCGUGA
Molecule: transfer RNA, 25 nt
Filed under: Impatiens viscida
Lineage: Eukaryota; Viridiplantae; Streptophyta; Magnoliopsida; Ericales; Balsaminaceae
Also listed under: 1 other name
Description: partial tRNA-Leu
Source: RNAcentral